RNAcentral lists this ribosomal RNA (253 nucleotides) under uncultured bacterium. Its description in RNAcentral is "partial 16S ribosomal RNA". It matches the Rfam family "Bacterial small subunit ribosomal RNA", at positions 524 to 776 of the family's 1533-position model. The record is from RNAcentral.
UACGGAGGGAGCUAGCGUUGUUCGGAAUUACUGGGCGUAAAGCGCGCGUAGGCGGCUUUGUAAGUUAGAGGUGAAAGCCCGGAGCUCAACUCCGGAACUGCCUUUAAGACUGCAUCGCUUGAAUCCGGGAGAGGAGAACGGAAUUCCCAGUGUAGCGGUGAAAUGCGCAGAUAUUGGGAAGAACACCAGUGGCGAAGGCGGUUCUCUGGGACGGUACUGACGCUGAGACGCGAAAGCGUGGGGAGCGAACAGG